GAGCGNAACCCACGUCNUCAGNUGCCAUCAUUCAGNUGGGCACUCUGGGGAGNCUGCCGGUGAUAAGCCGNCGAGGAAGGUGUGGAUGACGUCAAGUCCUCAUGGCCCUUACGGGAUGGGCUACACACGUGCUACAAUGGCGGUGACAGUGGGACGCGAGACCGCGAGGUUGAGCAAAUCCCCAAAAGCCGUCUCAGUUCGGAUUGCACUCUGCAACUCGAGUGCAUGAAGGUGGAAUCGCUAGUAAUCGUGGAUCAGCAUGCCACGGUGAAUACGUUCCCGGGCCUUGUACACACCGCCCGUCACAGCCAUGGGAGUUGGUCUUACCCGACGGCGCUGCAAUAACCCGNCGAGGGGGCAGGCGACUCUUAGAGUUNUCCCGGCUACA
RNAcentral lists this ribosomal RNA (388 nucleotides) under Afipia sp. cch_12. RNAcentral describes it as "bacterial SSU rRNA". It matches the Rfam family "Bacterial small subunit ribosomal RNA", at positions 1094 to 1476 of the family's 1533-position model. Lineage: Bacteria; Pseudomonadati; Pseudomonadota; Alphaproteobacteria; Hyphomicrobiales; Nitrobacteraceae. The record is from RNAcentral.